RNAcentral lists this ribosomal RNA (253 nucleotides) under uncultured bacterium. RNAcentral describes it as "partial 16S ribosomal RNA". It matches the Rfam family "Bacterial small subunit ribosomal RNA", at positions 524 to 776 of the family's 1533-position model. The record is from RNAcentral.
UACGUAGGGUGCAAGCGUUAAUCGGAAUUACUGGGCGUAAAGCGUGCGCAGGCGGUUUUGUAAGUCUGACGUGAAAUCCCCGGGCUCAACCUGGGAAUUGCGUUGGAGACUGCAUCGCUAGAAUCAUGGAGAGGUGAGUGGAAUUCCGAGUGUAGAGGUGAAAUUCGUAGAUAUUCGGAAGAACACCAGUGGCGAAGGCAGCCCCCUGGGUCAAGAUUGACGCUCAUGCACGAAAGCGUGGGGAGCAAACAGG